Molecule: ribosomal RNA, 497 nt
Filed under: uncultured bacterium
Lineage: Bacteria
Description: partial 16S ribosomal RNA
Rfam family: Bacterial small subunit ribosomal RNA
Source: RNAcentral
GAUGAACGCUGGCGGCGUGCCUAAUACAUGCAAGUCGAGCGAACAGACGAGGAGCUUGCUCCUCUGACGUUAGCGGCGGACGGGUGCGUAACACGUGGAUAACCUACCUCUAAGACUGGGAUAACUUCGGGAAACCGGAGCUAAUACCGGAUAAUAUAUUGAACCGCAUGGUUCAAUAGUGAAAGACGGUUUUGCUGUCACUUAUAGAUGGAUCCGCGCCGCAUUAGCUAGUUGGUAAGGUAACGGCUUACCAAGGCAACGAUGCGUAGCCGACCUGAGAGGGUGAUCGGCCACACUGGAACUGAGACACGGUCCAGACUCCUACGGGAGGCAGCAGUAGGGAAUCUUCCGCAAUGGGCGAAAGCCUGACGGAGCAACGCCGCGUGAGGGAUGAAGGUCUUCGGAUCGUAAAACGCUGUUAUUAGGGAAGAACAAAUGUGUAAGUAACUAUGCACGUCUUGACGGUACCUAAUCAGAAAGCCACGGCUAACUACGUG